AGAAAAUUCUCUGGUUGAGUUUUUAAAGAUCAUUGCUUGACUAUUUUCAUAUCCAUCCAUGCUGAUAAGCACGUGCUUUUUUCCUCCACUUGUCUUGCCUUAAUGUUGCAAAGCUCCUGGUUUAGGUUGAACCAAAUGCUGCCUUAAUUAUUGCUUUCUAGGUGUUAGUUUUUUGGUUGUUUUUUCGGUUGGUUCUGAGUGUGAUUGUUAGCCUUUUGCACUGGAAUACCCUUUUAGUUCCUCUUCAUUUCAGUGUCCAAUGAGUAGCUUUUCUGGUAUAGGUUAAAAUAGAUGCUAGUUUUAGAGGUGAUGCUAUUAUUUUUUCACUAGUAGUAAUGCAAUUGUAUUUAUAUGUUCUUUCUUAUUAGCAUGGUUUUGAAAAUAUUUGUUGGUAAUAUUUUGAAAUUUUGUUGCGAGAGGCAUAUAUGAUGCAAUUUUAGCUAAUUGUAUAAACAUGGUUUACAGUUUUGAUUUUGUUGAAUCAUAUUAAAAUGAGAAAAAUAUAGUGACAAAGUACUUUUAGAUGAGCUAUUGAAUAAAAAUAGUUGUUAUUGGAGAGAGAAAGAGAGAAACUAAAGUAGGUGUUGUUUCAAUUUUUGAAGACAAAGAAAUGGCCUUUGAUCUUACAGAAGAGAGAGACUAGAUCUUACAAUGUCAUGCAGCAGUAUUUAGUUGAAAGCCUGUUAGAGUGCUGCAUUCAAUUUCUUCUUCUUUCUUUUCU
RNAcentral lists this unclassified non-coding RNA (721 nucleotides) under Hevea brasiliensis (rubber tree). Lineage: Eukaryota; Viridiplantae; Streptophyta; Magnoliopsida; Malpighiales; Euphorbiaceae. The record is from RNAcentral.